RNAcentral lists this ribosomal RNA (47 nucleotides) under Amolops wangyali (Wangyal's torrent frog). Its description in RNAcentral is "partial 12S ribosomal RNA". Lineage: Eukaryota; Metazoa; Chordata; Amphibia; Anura; Ranidae. The record is from RNAcentral.
GCAAGUCGUAACAUGGUAAGUGUACUGGAAAGUGCACUUGGAUUACA